Molecule: long non-coding RNA, 463 nt
Filed under: Eucalyptus grandis
Lineage: Eukaryota; Viridiplantae; Streptophyta; Magnoliopsida; Myrtales; Myrtaceae
Description: long non-coding RNA (EGRA_LNC002082)
Source: RNAcentral
CCGAACGUCCCAUCGCAUAAGAAGUCUUCAAAGUCAAAUUGUGGAGUUCACGCCCAUACUCCAUCCCACUCUCAUCUUCUUUUUCUCUUGAGGAAAUUCACGAAUAAGUCCUUGGUUGCAACGAUUCUGCUGCUAUUGCUUCAACGACGAAUUACCAUCGGAGAUUUUCCACCGUCGGGGCAUCUUUGCAGCAACCUUGCAGGUUCAAAUCAGGUCGUUGUCGCAACUAAGACGCUGUCAUCCGUGCCGGAUCCACCACCACGAUUUGAUCUAGAGCCAAGAGCCACGAACCACCAUCUUUGCACCGUGGAUUGUUGACGAUCAUCGUUGUUGCUCCUCCGUGACUAAGUCGCUAUCUCAUGGCGUCCCCGUUGUCCUGAGCCACGAAGUCCGACGUUGCCGUGUUGCCCGUGGAGCCCUGACGUAAGCAUCUCCUAUGAGGUGCGAAGACCACCACAGCCGC